GAAAGUCUUCGGGGCAAGGUGAGAAGGCGUUUAGCCUUCAAUUCCUGACCGGCGGUGAUAGGCGAAAGCCUUAAGCCCGCGAGCCGCAAGGCAGAUCCGGUGAAAUUCCGGAGCCGACAGUAAAGUCUGGAUGGGAGAAGACUGGU
This 146-nucleotide non-coding RNA is filed under the name Thermosediminibacter oceani. RNAcentral describes it as "FMN sequence". It matches the Rfam family "FMN riboswitch aptamer (RFN element)". Rfam says of the family: The RFN element is a highly conserved domain that is found frequently in the 5'-untranslated regions of prokaryotic mRNAs that encode for flavin mononucleotide (FMN) biosynthesis and transport proteins. This element is a metabolite-dependent riboswitch that directly binds FMN in the absence of proteins. In Bacillus subtilis, the riboswitch most likely controls gene expression by causing premature transcription termination within the 5' untranslated region of the ribDEAHT operon and precluding access to the ribosome-binding site of ypaA mRNA. Lineage: Bacteria; Bacillati; Bacillota; Clostridia; Thermosediminibacterales; Thermosediminibacteraceae. RNAcentral also lists the same sequence under 1 other name. The record is from RNAcentral.